Molecule: ribosomal RNA, 367 nt
Filed under: uncultured organism
Description: bacterial SSU rRNA
Rfam family: Bacterial small subunit ribosomal RNA
Source: RNAcentral
CGGAGGAUCCAAGCGUUAUCCGGAAUCAUUGGGUUUAAAGGGUCCGUAGGCGGGCCUGUAAGUCAGUGGUGAAAUCUCCCCGCUCAACGGGGAAACUGCCAUUGAUACUGCAGGUCUUGAAUUAUUGGGAAGUAACUAGAAUAUGUAGUGUAGCGGUGAAAUGCUUAGAGAUUACAUGGAAUACCGAUUGCGAAGGCAGGUUACUAUCAAUAUAUUGACGCUGAUGGACGAAAGCGUGGGGAGCGAACAGGAUUAGAUACCCUGGUAGUCCACGCCGUAAACGAUGGAUACUAGCUGUCGGGGGCGAACCUCGGUGGCUAAGCGAAAGUGAUAAGUAUCCCACCUGGGGAGUACGAACGCAAGUUUG